This is a non-coding RNA of Podarcis lilfordi (Lilford's wall lizard), 81 nucleotides long. Lineage: Eukaryota; Metazoa; Chordata; Lepidosauria; Squamata; Lacertidae. The record is from the annotation of a GenBank genome assembly.
AGCAAACCUAUAGCUCAGUUAGUUGGUAGAACAUGAGACUCUUAAUCUCAGAAUUGUGGUUCUGAGACCCACAUUGGGCAA